GAUGAACGCUGGCGGCGUGCCUAAUACAUGCAAGUCGAGCGAACAGACGAGGAGCUUGCUCCUCUGACGUUAGCGGCGGACGGGUGAGUAACACGUAGGUAACCUACCUAUAAGACUGGGAUAACUUCGGGAAACCGGAGCUAAUACCGGAUAAUAUUUCGAACCGCAUGGUUCAAUAGUGAAAGAUGGUUUUGCUAUCACUUAUAGAUGGAUCUGCGCCGCAUUAGCUAGUUGGUAAGGUAACGGCUUACCAAGGCAACGAUACGUAGCCGACCUGAGAGGGUGAUCGGCCACACUGGAACUGAGACACGGUCCAGACUCCUACGGGAGGCAGCAGUAGGGAAUCUUCCGCAAUGGGCGAAAGCCUGACGGAGCAACGCCGCGUGAGUGAUGAAGGUCUUCGGAUCGUAAAACUCUGUUAUUAGGGAAGAACAAACGUGUAAGUAACUGUGCACGUCUUGACGGUACCUAAUCAGAAAGCCACGGCUAACUACGUG
Molecule: ribosomal RNA, 497 nt
Filed under: uncultured bacterium
Lineage: Bacteria
Description: partial 16S ribosomal RNA
Rfam family: Bacterial small subunit ribosomal RNA
Source: RNAcentral